AGUGAACGCUGGCGGUAGGCCUAACACAUGCAAGUCGAACGGCAGCAUAGUAAGAGCUUGCUCUUACGGGUGGCGAGUGGCGGACGGGUGAGGAAUACAUCGGAAUCUACUUUUUCGUGGGGGAUAACGUAGGGAAACUUACGCUAAUACCGCAUACGACCUACGGGUGAAAGCAGGGGAUCUUCGGACCUUGCGCGAUUGAAUGAGCCGAUGUCGGAUUAGCUAGUUGGCGGGGUAAAGGCCCACCAAGGCGACGAUCCGUAGCUGGUCUGAGAGGAUGAUCAGCCACACUGGAACUGAGACACGGUCCAGACUCUUACGGGAGGCAGCAGUGGGGAAUAUUGGACAAAGGGCGCAAGCCUGAUCCAGCCAUACCGCGUGGGUGAAGAAGGCCUUCGGGUUGUAAAGCCCUUUUGUUGGGAAAGAAAAGCAGCAGGUUAAUACCCCGCUGUUCUGACGGUACCCAAAGAAUAAGCACCGGCUAACUUCGUG
This 492-nucleotide ribosomal RNA is filed under the name uncultured bacterium. RNAcentral's name for it is "partial 16S ribosomal RNA". It matches the Rfam family "Bacterial small subunit ribosomal RNA", at positions 29 to 507 of the family's 1533-position model. The record is from RNAcentral.